GCAUUGCAAUUUCUACGCAUUGUAAUUUCGAUGGGUUGAAAUUUCUACGCGUUGCAAUUUGGAUGCGUUGUGUAUUCGGCGCGUUGUAAUCUUAAUGCGCCGCGGUUUCGAUGCGUUGUGUACUCGGCGCAUUGCAAUUUCUACGCACUGUAAUUUUGAUGGGCCGAAAUUUCUACGCAUUGCAAUUUUGAUGCGUCGCGUAUUCAGCGCGUUGUAAUUUUAAUGCGCCGCGAUUUCGACGCGUUGUAUACUUGGCGCAUUGUAAUUUCGAUGCGUUGUAUAUUCGGCGCGUUGUAAUUUCUACGCGUUGUAUAUUCGGCGCGUUACAAUUUCGAUACGUUGUAAUUUCGACGCGUUGUAUACUGGGCAUAUUGCAAUUUUGUCGCGUUGUAUAUUCAGCGCGUUAUAAUUUCGAUGCGUUGCAAUUUCAACGCGUUGUAUAUUCAGCGCGUUAUAAUUUCGGUGCGUUGCAAUUUCGACGCGUUGUAUAUUCAGCACGUUGUACUUUCGAUGCGUUGUAUAUUCGAUGCAUUUUAUAUUUGACGCAUCUUAUAUUUGGCACAUUGUAUUUUCGACGCGUUGUAUUUCCGUAACAUUGUAUACUCGGCACAUUUAUAUAUAGGGAUCGUUGUAUAUUUUCCACGCUAAUAUAUCCAUCACGUCAUAUAGUCAACACAUUCCUACAUCCAUUACGUCAUUUGAACAUAUUCAUAUGUAUAUCCAUCACGUCACAUAUGUGCCACAUUUAUAUUGUAUAUCCAUCAUGUUACAUAUUCGACAUUUCUACACAUGUAUCCAUCACGUCACAUAGUCGAUACAUUUGUACAAUAUAUCUAUCACCUCAUAUAUUCAACACAUAUAUAUAUGCGUCACAUUUAUAUGUACAUUUAUCAUGUCAUAUAUUCGACACAUUUGUUAGCAUCAUAUGUUAGCAUCAUAUAUCAGACGUAUUUAUAUAUCCAUUCCGUUAUAUAUCGUAUACAUUGUCUUACUAGGUAAUGCACAUCAAUGUGUUAUAUUGUCACACAUAUAUUCGACACAUUAUUAGCAUCACACAUUAAACAUAUUUGUAUAUCCAUCUCGUUAUAUCUAUAUCCUAUGCACUGUAUUACCAGACAGUAUACAUCAAUGCUAUAUAAUAUUGCCACACAUAUGUUAUCACAUUCACAUAUGUGAAUGACCAACAGUUUGAAUUACCCGCGUUCUCACAUUACGCCAUCUCGCGCAAAUCGAUGCUAAUGAAUCGAACAAGGGAUAUCAAGACGUUCGAUUUUCGAUCACUUCGCAGUUCGAGUAGUACGAUGGAAGUGAUCGGCACGAAGAAAUACUUAUGAUUUUUCAAGAAGAAUACUGUUACAUUAAUUGAAAUUCGAGUUGGUGAUUGAUUAUUUUUCAUGAAAGCUACAUGAGUAGAGAAUCUGAAAGAUAAAAUGAACGUAAAACCAUCAAAUGUACAGCUUCGAGAUAAUUCGAGAUCUUCUCGAACAGUAACCAUCUUCUUGUUUCGAAACCGAGCAUUGUUAAGACCACGAGGGUACUUUGGAAUUCCAAGAAAUUUACGUAUUGCAAAAAAAAUACCUCGCGCAUAUUUAACUUUAUCUCAUGCUGCUUCGCACUUUUGUCGCUCUGUCGUAGAAACAAAAUGGAUAGAGGAAGAUGUUGGACAACAAGAAGACUCGUUUGGACGCAGUACAUCAAAAUUAGUCAACCACGAUUCAGCCAUUGCAGAGAUUACAAAUUUUGAUCAUGAUUGCUCAAUCAUGACCAACACGAACACCUGAACAACCAAAAGACCACACCAAUACAAACGAACAU
RNAcentral lists this long non-coding RNA (1815 nucleotides) under Megachile rotundata (alfalfa leafcutting bee). RNAcentral's name for it is "uncharacterized LOC105662408". Lineage: Eukaryota; Metazoa; Arthropoda; Insecta; Hymenoptera; Megachilidae. The record is from RNAcentral.